RNAcentral lists this unclassified non-coding RNA (343 nucleotides) under soil metagenome. RNAcentral's name for it is "partial contains 5.8S ribosomal RNA, internal transcribed spacer 2, and large subunit ribosomal RNA". The stretch from base 1 to 120 matches the Rfam family "5.8S ribosomal RNA", at positions 35 to 154 of the family's 154-position model. The record is from RNAcentral.
GAUGAAGAACGCAGCGAAAUGCGAUAAGUAAUGUGAAUUGCAGAAUCCAGUGAAUCAUUGAAUCUUUGAACGCACAUUGCGCCCGCCAGCAUUCUGGCGGGCAUGCCUGUUCGAGCGUCAUUUCAACCCUCGACCUCCCCUUGGGGAGGUCGGCGUUGGGGACCGGCAGCACACCGCCGGCCCUGAAAUGGAGUGGCGGCCCGUCUGCGGCGACCUCUGCGUAGUAAUACAGCUCGCACCGGAACCCCGACGCGGCCACGCCGUAAAACACCCAACUUCUGAACGUUGACCUCGAAUCAGGUAGGACUACCCGCUGAACUUAAGCAUAUCAAUAAGCGGAGGA